GAGUUUGAUCCUGGCUCAGGACGAACGCUGGCGGCGCGCCUAACACAUGCAAGUCGAACGAGCGAGAGAGAGCUUGCUUUCUCGAGCGAGUGGCGAACGGGUGAGUAACGCGUGAGGAACCUGCCUCAAAGAGGAGGACAACAGUUGGAAACGACUGCUAAUACCGCAUAAGCCCACGGGUCGGCAUCGACCAGAGGGAAAAGGAGCAAUCCGCUUUGAGAUGGCCUCGCGUCCGAUUAGAUAGUUGGUGAGGUAACGGCUCACCAAGUCAACGAUCUGUAGCCGAACUGAGAGGUUGAUCGGCCGCAUUGGGACUGAGACACGGCCCAGACUCCUACGGGAGGCAGCAGUGGGGAAUAUUGCGCAAUGGGGGCAACCCUGACGCAGCAACGCCGCGUGCAGGAAGAAGGUCUUCGGAUUGUAAACUGUUGUCGCAAGGGAAGAAGACAGUGACGGUACCUUGUGAGAAAGUCACGGCUAACUACGUGCCAGCCGCCGCGGUAAUUC
Molecule: ribosomal RNA, 507 nt
Filed under: uncultured bacterium
Lineage: Bacteria
Description: bacterial SSU rRNA
Rfam family: Bacterial small subunit ribosomal RNA
Source: RNAcentral